RNAcentral lists this ribosomal RNA (468 nucleotides) under uncultured bacterium. RNAcentral describes it as "partial 16S ribosomal RNA". It matches the Rfam family "Bacterial small subunit ribosomal RNA", at positions 28 to 507 of the family's 1533-position model. The record is from RNAcentral.
GACGAACGCUGGCGGCGUGCUUAACACAUGCAAGUCGAACGGAAAGGCCCUGCUUUUGUGGGGUGCUCGAGUGGCGAACGGGUGAGUAACACGUGAGUAACCUGCCCUUGACUUUGGGAUAACUUCAGGAAACUGGGGCUAAUACCGGAUAGGAGCUCCUGCUGCAUGGUGGGGGUUGGAAAGUUUCGGCGGUUGGGGAUGGACUCGCGGCUUAUCAGCUUGUUGGUGGGGUAGUGGCUUACCAAGGCUUUGACGGGUAGCCGGCCUGAGAGGGUGACCGGCCACAAUGGGACUGAGGAACGGCCCAGACUCCUACGGGGGGCAAGAAGGGGGAAUAUUGCACAAUGGGGCGAAGCCUGAUGCAGGCACCGCGGGGGCGGGAAUACGGGCUUUGGGGUUGAAACCCCUUUCGGCUUGUACGGAGCGGGAGUUACGGGAAAGGGUAAAGAAGCACCGGCUAACUACGGG